GAUGAAGAACGUAGCGAAAUGCGAUAAGUAGUGUGAAUUGCAGAAUUCAGCGAAUCAUCGAAUCUUUGAACGCACAUUGCGCCCUUCGGUUAUUCCUUAGGGCAUGCCUGUUCGAGCGUCAUUUCAACCUUCAAGCCUGGCUUGGUGUUGGGCGCUGUCCCGCCUCCGCGCGCGGACUCGCCCCAAAUGAAUUGGCAGUCGCACCCUCCGAGCCGCGAGCGCAGCACAAGUCGCGCGGGCGGAACUCUGGGGGGACGGACGCUCCACAAGACCCUUUCUCAGUCUUGACCUCGGAUCAGGUAGGGAUACCCGCUGAACUUAAGCAUAUCAAUAAGCGGAGGA
RNAcentral lists this unclassified non-coding RNA (342 nucleotides) under soil metagenome. RNAcentral describes it as "partial contains 5.8S ribosomal RNA, internal transcribed spacer 2, and large subunit ribosomal RNA". The stretch from base 1 to 121 matches the Rfam family "5.8S ribosomal RNA", at positions 35 to 154 of the family's 154-position model. The record is from RNAcentral.